GGCAGGCCUAACACAUGCAAGUCGAGGGGUAACAGGGAGCUUGCUCCGCUGACGACCGGCGCACGGGUGCGCAACGCGUAUACAAUCUGCCUUAUGCUGAGGGAUAGCCCAGAGAAAUUUGGAUUAAUACCUCAUGGUAUCGAGAGACGGCAUCGUUUUUUGAUUAAAGGUCACGGCAUAAGAUGAGUAUGCGUCCCAUUAGCUAGUUGGUGUGGUAACGGCACACCAAGGCAACGAUGGGUAGGGGUCCUGAGAGGGAGAUCCCCCACACUGGUACUGAGACACGGACCAGACUCCUACGGGAGGCAGCAGUGAGGAAUAUUGGACAAUGGGCGGAAGCCUGAUCCAGCCAUGCCGCGUGCAGGAAGACGGUCCUAUGGAUUGUAAACUGCUUUUAUACGGGAAGAAUAAGGGCUACGUGUAGCCUGGUGACGGUACCGUAAGAAUAAGGAUCGGCUAACUCCGUGCCAGCAGCCGCGGUAAUACGGAGGAUCCAAGCGUUAUCCGGAAUCAUUGGGUUUAAAGGGUCCGUAGGCGGACUAUUAAGUCAGGGGUGAAAGUCUGCAGCUCAACUGUAGAAUUGCCCUUGAUACUGGUAGUCUUGAGUUAUGGUGAAGUGGCUAGAAUAUGUAGUGUAGCGGUGAAAUGCAUAGAUAUUACAUAGAAUACCGAUUGCGAAGGCAGGUCACUAACCAUAUACUGACGCUGAUGGACGAAAGCGUGGGGAGCGAACAGGAUUAGAUACCCUGGUAGUCCACGCCGUAAACGAUGGAUACUAGCUGUUCGGACUUCGGUCUGAGCGGCCAAGCGAAAGUGAUAA
Molecule: ribosomal RNA, 820 nt
Filed under: uncultured Sediminicola sp.
Lineage: Bacteria; Pseudomonadati; Bacteroidota; Flavobacteriia; Flavobacteriales; Flavobacteriaceae
Description: bacterial SSU rRNA
Rfam family: Bacterial small subunit ribosomal RNA
Source: RNAcentral